Molecule: ribosomal RNA, 421 nt
Filed under: Kassina decorata
Lineage: Eukaryota; Metazoa; Chordata; Amphibia; Anura; Hyperoliidae
Description: partial 16S ribosomal RNA
Rfam family: Bacterial large subunit ribosomal RNA
Source: RNAcentral
GUCUCCCCCCUCUAAUCAAUGAAACUGAUCUUCUCGUGAAGAAGCGAGAAUAUAAGUAUAAGACGAGAAGACCCUAUGGAGCUUUAAACCCAUCACCACCUGCCUAUAUAAUAUCAAAACAAUUAGCAGCCUGUUCAAGAUGGUUUUUGGCUGGGGUGGCCCUGGAGUAAAAUAAAUCCUCCAGAUUGAAUGGUUUAACUACCUAAUCUAAGAGCCACUACUCUAAGAAUUAAUAUUUUAACAUAAUUGACCCAAUAAAUUGAUCAACGAACCAAGUUACCCUAGGGAUAACAGCGCAAUCCAUUUCAAGAGCCCCUAUCGACAAAUGGGUUUACGACCUCGAUGUUGGAUCGGGGUAUCCUAGCGGCGCAGCCGCUGCUAAAGGUUCGUUUGUUCAACGAUUAAUAACCCCACGUGAUCU